UUAGAGGAAGUAAAAGUCGUAACAAGGUCUCCGUUGGUGAACCAGCGGAGGGAUCAUUACUGAGUUUACGCUCUACAACCCUUUGUGAACAUACCUACAACUGUUGCUUCGGCGGGUAGGGUCUCCGCGACCCUCCCGGCCUCCCGCCUCCGGGCGGGUCGGCGCCCGCCGGAGGAUAACCAAACUCUGAUUUAACGACGUUUCUUCUGAGUGGUACAAGCAAAUAAUCAAAACUUUUAACAACGGAUCUCUUGGUUCUGGCAUCGAUGAAGAACGCAGCGAAAUGCGAUAAGUAAUGUGAAUUGCAGAAUUCAGUGAAUCAUCGAAUCUUUGAACGCACAUUGCGCCCGCCAGCAUUCUGGCGGGCAUGCCUGUUCGAGCGUCAUUUCAACCCUCAAGCUCUGCUUGGUGUUGGGGCCCUACAGCCGAUGUAGGCCCUCAAAGGUAGUGGCGGACCCUCCCGGAGCCUCCUUUGCGUAGUAACUUUACGUCUCGCACUGGGAUCCGGAGGGACUCUUGCCGUAAAACCCCCCAAUUUUCCAAAGGUUGACCUCGGAUCAGGUAGGAAUACCCGCUGAACUUAAGCAUAU
Molecule: ribosomal RNA, 590 nt
Filed under: Colletotrichum gloeosporioides
Lineage: Eukaryota; Fungi; Ascomycota; Sordariomycetes; Glomerellales; Glomerellaceae
Description: eukaryotic LSU rRNA
Rfam family: 5.8S ribosomal RNA (bases 232-385)
Source: RNAcentral